GGAGUUUGGGCCGUGUCUCAGUCCCAAUGUGGCCGGUCACCCUCUCAGGUCGGCUACUGAUCGUCGCCUUGGUGGGCCGUUACCUCACCAACCAGCUAAUCGGACGCGGGUCCAUCUCAUACCACCGGAGUUUUUCACACUGUACCAUGCGGUACUGUGCGCUUAUGCGGUAUUACCAGUCGUUUCCAACUGCUAUCCCCCUGUAUGAGGCAGGUUACCCACGCGUUACUCACCCGUCCGCCGCUAACCAGUCAUGAGUUCAUAGCAAGCUAAUCACUCAAUCAGGUCCGCUCGACUUGCAUGUGUUAGGCACGCCGCCAGCGUUCAUC
This 329-nucleotide ribosomal RNA is filed under the name uncultured Butyrivibrio sp. RNAcentral describes it as "partial 16S ribosomal RNA". The record is from RNAcentral. Lineage: Bacteria; Bacillati; Bacillota; Clostridia; Lachnospirales; Lachnospiraceae.